UCGAACGAUGAAACCGCCCUCGGGCGGACAUGAAGUGGCGAACGGGUGAGUAACACGUGACCAACCUGCCCCUUGCUCCGGGACAACCUUGGGAACCGAGGCUAAUACCGGAUACUCCUCGCCCCCCCUCCUGGGGGGCCCGGGAAAGCCCAGACGGCAAGGGAUGGGGUCGCGGCCCAUUAGGUAGUAGGCGGGGUAACGGCCCACCUAGCCCGCGAUGGGUAGCCGGGUUGAGAGACCGACCGGCCACAUUGGGACUGAGAUACGGCCCAGACUCCUACGGGAGGCAGCAUG
RNAcentral lists this ribosomal RNA (294 nucleotides) under uncultured bacterium. Its description in RNAcentral is "partial 16S ribosomal RNA". It matches the Rfam family "Bacterial small subunit ribosomal RNA", at positions 62 to 353 of the family's 1533-position model. The record is from RNAcentral.